This 2163-nucleotide ribosomal RNA is filed under the name human gut metagenome. Its description in RNAcentral is "bacterial LSU rRNA". It matches the Rfam family "Bacterial large subunit ribosomal RNA", at positions 14 to 2202 of the family's 2925-position model. The record is from RNAcentral.
AGAGCGUACGGUGGAUGUCUUGGCAUAUAGAGCAGAAGAAGGACGCAGAAAACGGCGAAACGCCUCGGGGAGUCGUACACAGACAACGAUCCGGGGGUAUCCGAAUGGGGAAACCCAGUCAUGCGGAAAUGCGUGGCUAUCCACAACUGAAUACAUAGGUUGCGAGAAGAAAACCCAGGGAAUUGAAACAUCUCAGUACCUGGAGGAGAAGAAAACAAAAGUGAUUCCGAAAGUAGUGGCGAGCGAAAUCGGAAGAGCCCAAACCAGUCUUGAACUGGGGUAGUAGGACCAGAAAAAGCAACAUCUGAGAGAUAGUCGAAUGAGAUUGAAAGCUCAGUCAGAGAAGGUGCAAACCCUGUAGACGAAAUUUCGAAGAGUGCGACUGGAAUCCUGAGUACGUCGGGGCACGUGGAACCCUGACGGAAGCAACCGGGACCAUCCGGUAAGGCUAAAUACUCCUAUAUGACCGAUAGUGAACCAGUACCAUGAGGGAAAGAUGAAAAGAACCGCGGGAGCGGAGUGAAAUAGAACCUGAAACCGUAUGCUUACAAAAAGUCAGAGCACAUUAAAGUGUGAUGGCGUGCCUUUUGUAGAAUGAACCGGCGAGUUAUCUUAUCGUGCGAGGUUAAGUAGACAAUACGGAGCCGAAGCGAAAGCGAAUCUUAAGAGGGUGGCAAGUACGAUGAGAUAGACCCGAAGCCGUAGUGAUCUAGUCAUGAGCAGGUUGAAGGCUGGGUGAAUCCAGCUGGAGGACCGAACCGACCCCCGUUGAAACGUUGGCGGAUGACUUGUGACUAGCGGAGAAAUUCCAAUCGAACACGGCGAUAGCUGGUUCUCCCCGAAAUAGCUUUAGGGCUAGCGUUGAACGAAUCUACCCGGAGGUAGAGCACUGAAAAUAUGCGGGCGGCACCUAGCCGUACCAAAUGUUAUCAAACUCCGAAUGCCGGGCAAGAAUAUUCAGCAGUCAGACUGUGGGUGAUAAGGUCCAUGGUCAAAAGGGAAACAGCCCAGAUCAUCAGAUAAGGUCCCAGAAUCUACGCCAAGUGGAAAAGGAUGUGGAGACGCGCAAACAGCUAGGAGGUUAGCUCAGAAGCAGCUAUCCUUGAAAGAGUGCGUAACAGCUCACUAGUCGAGUAUCUCUGCGCCGAAAAUUAACCGGGGCUAAGCGUAGUACCGAAUCUAUGGAUUUGUGCAGAAAUGUAUAAGUGGUAGGGGAGCGUUCCAAACAGCAUAGAAGGCAUACCGUAAGGAGUGCUGGAGCGUUUGGAAGUGAGAAUGCCGGUGUGAGUAGCGAGAUGCAGGUGAGAAUCCUGCACACCGAUAGACCAAGGUUUCCAGGGGAAGGUUCGUCCGCCCUGGGUAAGUCGGGACCUAAGACGAGGCAGAAAUGCGUAGCCGAUGGACAACUGGUUUAUAUUCCAGUACCCGCGAUACAACUGAAGGAGUGACGGAAAAGGUUACCUCGAGCCCUUAAUGGAUUGGGCAGGACAGAGAGGAGCAGGCAGCAGGCAAAUCCGCUGCAGGAUGCAGAGCUCUGGACCGAAUGAACGAGCGAUCAAGUAGUGAAGAGAGAGAUACCAGUUCCCGAGAAAAGCUUCUAAGGCUAAUUGUAUAGCGGCCCGUACCAAAACCGACACAGGUGGUCAAGGCGAGUAGCCUGAGGUGAGCGAGAGAACUGUUGCCAAGGAACUCGGCAAACUGACCCCGUACGUUAGCAAUAAGGGGUGCUCGAAAGAGCCGCAGUGAAUAGGCCCUAGCAACUGUUUAACUAAAACAUAGCUCUCUGCCAAGCCGCAAGGCGAAGUAUAGGGGGUGACACCUGCCCGGUGCUGGAAGGUCAAGGGGAUUUGUCAGCGCAAGCGAAGCAUUGAACCGAAGCCCCAGUGAACGGCGGCCGUAACUAUAACGGUCCUAAGGUAGCGAAAUUCCUUGUCAGGUAAGUUCUGACCCGCACGAAAGGUGUAAUGAUUUGGGCACUGUCUCGGCAGCAGACUCGGUGAAAUCUUAGUACCUGUGAAGAUGCAGGUUACCCGCAACUAGACGGAAAGACCCCAUGGAGCUUUACUGCAGUCUGCUAUUGAGUUUCGGUUGGAUAUGCACAGGAUAGGUGGGAGACGAUGAGACGUGGAUUUCGGUCUACGAGGAGUCACUGUUGGGAUACCA